UACGUAGGGUGCGAGCGUUGUCCGGAAUUACUGGGCGUAAAGGGCGCGUAGGCGGUUUCGCAAGUCAGGGGUGAAAUCCCGGAGCUUAACUCCGGAAUUGCUUUUGAUACUGUGAGGCUAGAGUGAGUUAGAGGAUGGCGGAAUUCCUAGUGUAGUGGUGAAAUACGUAGAUAUUAGGAAGAACACCGGUGGCGAAGGCGGCCAUCUGGGACUCAACUGACGCUGAGGCGCGAAAGCGCGGGGAUCAAACAGG
RNAcentral lists this ribosomal RNA (253 nucleotides) under uncultured bacterium. RNAcentral's name for it is "partial 16S ribosomal RNA". It matches the Rfam family "Bacterial small subunit ribosomal RNA", at positions 524 to 776 of the family's 1533-position model. The record is from RNAcentral.